AAUAUUUGACAAUGGGCGAAAGCCUGAUCCAGCCAUGCCGCGUGUGUGAAGAAGGUAUUCGGUGUGUAAAGCACUGUAAGUUGGGAGGAAGGGCAGUAAGUUAAUACCUUGCUGUUUUGACGGUACCGACAGAAUAAGCAGCGGCUAACUUCGUUCCAGCAGCAGCGGUCAUACGAAGUGUGAAAGCGUUAAUCGGAAUUAGUGGGCGUAACGCGCACGUAGGUGGUUCGUUAAGUUGGAUGUGGAAGCCACGGGCUCAACCUGGGAACUGCAUCCAAAACUGGCGAGCUAGAGUACGGUAGAGGGUGGUGGAAUUUCCUGUGUAGCGGUGAAAUGCGUAGAUAUAGGAAGGAACACCAGUGGCGAAGGCGACCACCUGGACUGAUACUGACACUGAGGUGCGAAAGCGUGGGGAGCAAACAGG
Molecule: ribosomal RNA, 424 nt
Filed under: uncultured bacterium
Lineage: Bacteria
Description: partial 16S ribosomal RNA
Rfam family: Bacterial small subunit ribosomal RNA
Source: RNAcentral